Molecule: ribosomal RNA, 650 nt
Filed under: uncultured bacterium
Lineage: Bacteria
Description: bacterial SSU rRNA
Rfam family: Bacterial small subunit ribosomal RNA
Source: RNAcentral
UGCAGUCGACGGUAACAGGCCGCAAGGUGCUGACGAGUGGCGAACGGGUGAGUAAUGCAUCGGAACGUGCCCAGUCGUGGGGGAUAACGCAGCGAAAGCUGCGCUAAUACCGCAUACGAUCUAUGGAUGAAAGCGGGGGACCAUAAGGCCUCGCGCGAUUGGAGCGGCCGAUGUCAGAUUAGGUAGUUGGUGGGGUAAAGGCUCACCAAGCCAACGAUCUGUAGCUGGUCUGAGAGGACGACCAGCCACACUGGGACUGAGACACGGCCCAGACUCCUACGGGAGGCAGCAGUGGGGAAUUUUGGACAAUGGGCGCAAGCCUGAUCCAGCAAUGCCGCGUGCAGGAAGAAGGCCUUCGGGUUGUAAACUGCUUUUGUACGGAACGAAACGGUCUGGGUUAAUACCUCGGGCUAAUGACGGUACCGUAAGAAUAAGCACCGGCUAACUACGUGCCAGCAGCCGCGGUAAUACGUAGGGUGCAAGCGUUAAUCGGAAUUACUGGGCGUAAAGCGUGCGCAGGCGGUUUUGUAAGACAGGCGUGAAAUCCCCGGGCUCAACCUGGGAAUGGCGCUUGUGACUGCAAGGCUGGAGUGCGGCAGAGGGGGAUGGAAUUCCGCGUGUAGCAGUGAAAUGCGUAGAUAUGCGGAGGA